AGAAUCAACGCUGGCGGCGUGCCUAACACAUGCAAGUCGAGCGCGAAAGGGGAGCAAUCCCCAAGUAGAGCGGCGAACGGGUGAGUAACGCGUGGGUAAUCUGCCUCCGAGUGGGGAACAACAUCGGGAAACUGGUGCUAAUACCGCAUAACAUCGUCGGGUCUUCGGAUCUGACGAUCAAAGCCGGGGACCGCAAGGCCUGGCGCUUGGAGAGGAGCCCGCGUCCGAUUAGCUAGUUGGUGGGGUAAUGGCCUACCAAGGCUUCGAUCGGUA
Molecule: ribosomal RNA, 273 nt
Filed under: uncultured soil bacterium
Lineage: Bacteria
Description: partial 16S ribosomal RNA
Rfam family: Bacterial small subunit ribosomal RNA
Source: RNAcentral